GUGCUUGCUGUGACAGCAUAUAUGCUAAAAUUGGAACAAUACAGAGAAGAUCAGCAUGGCCCCUGUGCAAGGAUGACAUUCAAAUUAUGAAGCGUUCCGUAUUGUU
Molecule: small nuclear RNA, 106 nt
Filed under: Phascolarctos cinereus (koala)
Lineage: Eukaryota; Metazoa; Chordata; Mammalia; Diprotodontia; Phascolarctidae
Source: RNAcentral